GAUGAACGCUGGCGGCGUGCCUAAUACAUGCAAGUAGAACGCUGAAGCUUGGUGCUUGCACCGAGCGGAUGAGUUGCGAACGGGUGAGUAACGCGUAGGUAACCUGCCUGGUAGCGGGGGAUAACUAUUGGAAACGAUAGCUAAUACCGCAUAACAGUAGAUAUUGCAUGAUAUCUGCUUGAAAGGUGCAAUUGCACCACUACCAGAUGGACCUGCGUUGUAUUAGCUAGUUGGUGAGGUAACGGCUCACCAAGGCGACGAUACAUAGCCGACCUGAGAGGGUGAUCGGCCACACUGGGACUGAGACACGGCCCAGACUCCUACGGGAGGCAGCAGUAGGGAAUCUUCGGCAAUGGACGGAAGUCUGACCGAGCAACGCCGCGUGAGUGAAGAAGGUUUUCGGAUCGUAAAGCUCUGUUGUAAGAGAAGAACGAGUGUGAGAGUGGAAAGUUCACACUGUGACGGUAUCUUACCAGAAAGGGACGGCUAACUACGUGCCAGCAGCCGCGGUAAUACGUAGGUCCCGAGCGUUAUCCGGAUUUAUUGGGCGUAAAGCGAGCGCAGGCGGUUAGAUAAGUCUGAAGUUAAAGGCUGUGGCUUAACCAUAGUACGCUUUGGAAACUGUUUAACUUGAGUGCAAGAGGGGGAGAGUGGAAUUCCAUGUGUAGCGGUGAAAUGCGUAGAUAUAUGGAGGAACACCGGGUGGCGAAAGCGUGUCUCUGGUUGUAACUGACGCUGAGGCUCGAAGCGUGUGGAGCAAACAGGAUUAUAUACCCUUGUAGUCUGAGGGCUGAAUCCCCCGUGUGUGUGAGGCUGUGCGAGCCGCUGUGCCUGUGGGGAAAAAACCGAUGACGUGAUAUUUUUCCCUUUAUUGAGGUUAAUUAUGAUGUUGCUCAAAUGUGUUGUGUGGUUGUAUGCCUGUGUGUGUGUUCUUUUGAUGUGUUUGUGUCUGUUUCUUUGUGUUG
Molecule: ribosomal RNA, 965 nt
Filed under: uncultured Streptococcus sp.
Lineage: Bacteria; Bacillati; Bacillota; Bacilli; Lactobacillales; Streptococcaceae
Description: bacterial SSU rRNA
Rfam family: Bacterial small subunit ribosomal RNA
Source: RNAcentral